RNAcentral lists this long non-coding RNA (2065 nucleotides) under Triticum aestivum (bread wheat). Its description in RNAcentral is "long non-coding RNA (TAES_LNC005443)". Lineage: Eukaryota; Viridiplantae; Streptophyta; Magnoliopsida; Poales; Poaceae. The record is from RNAcentral.
CUUUGCCAUUUAAUAGCUUCUUUGUGUUUCUAUAGGAUACCCCCAUGCUAUAUGACAACCAUAGUGAGCAUGUCAAAAGUUUAACAUGCUUAUUAUAAUUCUCUUCUCUGUAAAUUAUUAUAUGAAGUUUCUGCUUUACUUGGUUAACUCUUCUGAAGCUCACAUGCUUUGCCUAAAGCUUGGUGCUGACACUCAUAAAUCCAUUGUAGGCUCACUAUAUAAGAUAAUGAAUCUGUGUUCUAUAGACUAUCGUGGUAAAGAUGUUUUUGUCAGGUUAUUCAUUCCCAUACAUUGAACCUAUGUUUCUAACUUCUGCCCAUGAUAAAGAAAAUGGGGUUUAGCGCUUUUAAUCAGCAUCUAUUUAAACCAACAAAAGAUCUAUAGUUCCACCAACAUACCAUUUUUUGCUGGUACUCAUAUAUAUAUUAUAAUAUGCUGCUUCCAUAUUGUUUUCUCCCAGGUAUCGCAAGGCAUUCAGGUUCUCUUUAUAGCUUUCCUACACAGGAACAUAUUGCAAAAUUAAGAUACAUAACAUUGUUCCUGACUUAUGAAAGACGGUCGUUCUACCUACAGGUCUGCCUUAUAUCUACAGGUAUAUCCAUGCAUUCUUUAUUCUUUUUUUGCAGUGACCUACUGAUCUUCGUGAUUUAGUUUAGUGCUAGAGUUAGCAAAAUCUACUGAUCUUAUGUCUUUGUCAUGUUCCCCUUGUUUGGGUGGUCUACCUUUGGCUAUGAAUGUACGUAUAUUAUUGUCAUGUUCCCCUUAUCCCUGCAUCACUGAACAAUGCUGGCAAACUAAUGUCCCUUUGCCCUAUGUAAUGGUGUUACAGACUGCCAUUUGUUUUGUCGAGCUUACUAACUGAUUUUUUUUACAUUAUCAUGAAUAUGCUUUAGGCAUGCCUCUUCUCUGUUUCGGUGAAACAAGGUUUAGGGAACUCUUUUUAAAGACAUGUGUAUACACUAUACAGAACACAUGUUUCAUCGUCUUCGCUUUUUUUCAUGAGUUGUUGAAAAGAUCUUAUGAAGCUUGAUUGAUAAUGUUUCAACUCAGAUGAAGUGGUCUGUAUGAUAAGCUUUUGUAGAUCCUGGGGAUCGUUAUACCUUCUGUACAAUUCUCUGUUCUGGAUUCAAAUAGUUUGGGAGUGUUGCAUGCCUUUGUAUUGUGUUCAUAAACCUUGCUAAGUUUCUCCAUGUCCAGUCUUUUCUUCUAAGAAAAAACUCUUUUGUUGCAUCCACAUUAACCAUAUGUAUUUCCAUUUUCAUUUUUGAAUUGUAAACUGUAGCUGCUUAAAACUUUGGUAUAAAAUAAAGCCCUUAUUGGUAAAUGAGACACGUUAUUAGCAAUGUUUCACAUUUUCUUACUUGCAAUACCAUGCUUGCCUGUUCAGGUCUUCCAAGACCUAAAUCAUGAAAUCCAGCACAUACAACACCUUUUUUUAAACUUCGGUUACCCUGACACAAGCCUCCGUUCAAUUUUCUUAUACGGAGGGGUUAGAAAUAGUUACCUUACGUGCUUGCUUUCAAAACUACAUCUACUGAUAAAUGUUUUUUUUUCAAACCACACUGGGUAUCAUGGAUGGAUGAGGUUGUGGCAGUAGUUCGUGGGUGCAGUAUCUAUCUUGAUAAAGCGAUCGAUCAUGGCGCAUUGGAGGCAGAACAAGAGAAAAGCUUUGGGCGUCUGUGGUGUUGAACAUUCAGUGUUUAUGUGCUUUGUACAUGCACGACCAGUUCAGUAACUAGAUGGUCUUUUCUACUUUACUGGUGCUGCUACUUUUUCACAUGCUAGCUUAUUUGAAAAGCGCCAACAAUGUGUGCCACAUGUAAACAGUCCAUGUUGAAAGAAUAGAAGCAGAAGUGUGGAGAUGAUGUAAUUGGUCAGUCAGGAAAUUCAGUCUCAAUGAGCUCAACUAACGACAUGUGUGAGUUGAGCCUGAGGUCAUUUUCAAAGUAACAGAAGUAUUUUACUUUCCUUUUCAUGUCAGUGGUUGAUGCUACUUACAUGUUGUAUCAGGUUAUCAAAGGGCAGCAAUCAUAUACAUUUUAUAAACAAAUAAAACACUUUUAUG